This 379-nucleotide ribosomal RNA is filed under the name Mantidactylus aerumnalis. RNAcentral's name for it is "partial 16S ribosomal RNA". It matches the Rfam family "Bacterial large subunit ribosomal RNA", at positions 1944 to 2487 of the family's 2925-position model. Lineage: Eukaryota; Metazoa; Chordata; Amphibia; Anura; Mantellidae. The record is from RNAcentral.
AACCGCGCGAAGGUAGCAUAAUCACUUGUUCUUUAAAUAGGGACUAGUAUCAACGGCACCACGAGGGUUAUACUGUCUCCUAUUUCAAAUCAGUGAAACUAAUCUCCCCGUGAAGAAGCGGGGAUAUACUUAUAAGACGAGAAGACCCCAUGGAGCUUCAAACCCCGCUACACCCCGAUCUCUAUAACCCACUUAACCCACACGGACCCCUGUACAGCUGGUUUUCGGUUGGGGCGACCACGGAGUACAACAAAACCUCCACAAUGAACGGGACUAAUCCCUCACCUAAGGCCCACACCCCUAAGAAUUAGAAUACUAACAUAAAGUGAUCCAUUAUUUGAUCAAUGAACCAAGUUACCCUGGGGAUAACAGCGCAAUC